CAGGGAUUUUGUUGUGCAGGUGCUUGUGUCAACCGUGGCUCUCUGCUUGCUGUUCUGAACAGGAGUGCCGAUGGAGACUGGCCUGCUCUGGGAUGUAUCCACUUGGAUUUUCUCUGUGGAGAACUCCAGAUGAAGAAAAGAAGAGAUUUUGAGCAAAUUGUAAGAAAAGUCAUGGCUACUGAAAUGCCUCAGAAGGAGGUGACACAUAGGAAAAACAGAUUCUCUAUCUCUCAGAUGACAUCUCAAUCUCACUGCUGUCACCACUUGGAAAGAAUUUUGAGUAAAAGAAGUAAAAUGCUUUUCUAGUAGAAAUCCCUUGUCUGAAGGUCACAGAAGCCUACAUAUGGAUUGGCUGUGGGAAUUCUGAUACCCUCCCAGAUAUUUUUAAAGAAUCCAGAAGAGUCCAGGAUUAAAGGGAAGUGCAAGGAUUCCCAUUCUCUUCCGAAGCAUCAAAGAGAAUAUAACCAGAAUUUUUUUUUGCUGGGAGAAGAUUGUCACUGAGCUAACAUCCAUUCUGGUUUUCUCUGAGGACCAUUGUAAAAAUUCAUUCUCUUGGGUAGCUGGUCUCAGGACAGGCCAUUAGGAGCUGCUGCCAGAGAGCACAAUCCUCUAAGGUCGGUCCAAUUUUCUCUGUCCUCUCACUCCUUCCCUUCCCGCAUUUAUAUCUUGCCUCUUUCUCUCCCUUCUAGUUUUUGCUCUCUUUCUCCUUUCCUCUAUCAAAUAUUAGGUUCUCCAUAUAUGCCUGGUACUUGGCCCCAUACUUUCAUUGCUCUGCCCCAUUGUGUUCGAGUCACCCCCCUUCAAUUCUCCUUUGCCUUUUCCCAGCCUCAAGCACCCCAAGUCGCGAGGAAACAACCCGGUCUCCAGAGGCAUCUAUCUGAGCAUUUCCUGAGUCAUCAUCUCCCCUCUCGUAUCCAAAUGUUUCAGGGGCAUCUGGGGAGGCUUUCCAAAGUUACUGUGAUGUUGCUUGGGAAAUAUUAAGAUAUUAAUCCUGUAUCUCAUUUGAUGGUGACCAUUAUCAUUUGCAGUGGAGCUGCUCUUCACUUCUAUCUUCUUUUAGAAUCACUUAUAGCUGAAAAUGUCUUAAGGGCCCAAUGAGGCUGAAUGUAAAAUACAUAAUAUCUUCUAGAUAAAAAGACAAUGGGGAAGAUCCGUCUCUUAGGAAACCAGCUUGCUACCUCCAGGGACAGUACCCAGGAAGAAGGUAGUCUACUCUGUUUCUCUCUUUCUUUUUUUAAACUUUAAUGUAAUGAAAACCACACCAUUUAGAAAUGAUUCUAAUUCCAGUUUCAAGUCCCAUUCUUUUCUCCAGUCAUGCACGUACUUAGACUUUUUAUUCCUUCAUUAACACAGGGAAAAUGCAAACCAUUACGACAGUUAGCAGAUAUAAUUUUAGACAAAUACAACUUCUUAUCAAAUAAGCCUGCAAUAAGUAUUUGAUGAACAGGGCUCUUCAA
Long non-coding RNA from Equus quagga, 1457 nucleotides. RefSeq lists it as uncharacterized. The transcript has 4 exons. NCBI's taxonomy places the organism in Eukaryota, Metazoa, Chordata, Mammalia, Perissodactyla, Equidae. The record is from RefSeq and is a predicted model, not a curated record.